AGGGUUUGAUCAUGGCUCAGGAUGAACGCUGGCGGCGUGCUUAACACAUGCAAGUCGAACGAACCUUCGGGUUAGUGGCGGACGGGUGAGUAACGCGUGAGAAUCUGCCCUCAGGAGGGGGAUAACGGUUGGAAACGACCGCUAAUACCCCAUAUGCCGAUAGGUGAAAUGAAUUUCGCCUGAGGAUGAGCUCGCGUCUGAUUAGCUUGUUGGUAAGGUAAUGGCUUACCAAGGCUUCGAUCAGUAGCUGGUCUGAGAGGAUGAUCAGCCACACUGGGACUGAGACACGGCCCAGACUCCUACGGGAGGCAGCAGUGGGGAAUUUUCCGCAAUGGGCGAAAGCCUGACGGAGCAACGCCGCGUGAGGGACGAAGGCCUCUGGGCUGUAAACCUCUUUUCUCAAGGAAGAAGAUAUGACGGUACUUGAGGAAUAAGCCACGGCUAAUUCCGUGCCAGCAGCCGCGGUAAUACGGGAGUGGCAAGCGUUAUCCGGAAUUAUUGGGCGUAAAGCGUCCGCAGGCGGCUUGUCAAGUCUGCUGUUAAAACGUGGAGCUUAACUCCAUCAUGGCAGUGGAAACUGACAGGCUUGAGUAUGGUAGGGGCAGAGGGAAUUCCCGGUGUAGCGGUGAAAUGCGUAGAUAUCGGGAAGAACACCAGUGGCGAAGGCGCUCUGCUGGGCCAUUACUGACGCUCAUGGACGAAAGCCAGGGGAGCGAAAGGGAUUAGAUACCCCUGUAGUCCUGGCCGUAAACGAUGAACACUAGGUGUCGGGGGAAUCGACCCCUUCGGUGUCGUAGCUAACGCGUUAAGUGUUCCGCCUGGGGAGUACGCACGCAAGUGUGAAACUCAAAGGAAUUGACGGGGGCCCGCACAAGCGGUGGAGUAUGUGGUUUAAUUCGAUGCAACGCGAAGAACCUUACCAGGGUUUGACAUCCUGCGAACCUCUUAGAAAUUUGAGGGUGCCUUCGGGAAUGCAGUGACAGGUGGUGCAUGGCUGUCGUCAGCUCGUGUCGUGAGAUGUUGGGUUAAGUCCCGCAACGAGCGCAACCCACGUUUUUAGUUGCCAGCAUUUAGUUGGGCACUCUAGAAAGACCGCCGGUGAUAAACCGGAGGAAGGUGUGGAUGACGUCAAGUCAUCAUGCCCCUUACACCCUGGGCUACACACGUACUACAAUGCUACGGACAAAGGGCAGCAAACUCGCGAGAGCUAGCAAAUCCCAUAAACCGUGGCUCAGUUCAGAUCGUAGGCUGCAACUCGCCUACGUGAAGUAGGAAUCGCUAGUAAUCGCAGGUCAGCAUACUGCGGUGAAUACGUUCCCGGGCCUUGUACACACCGCCCGUCACACCAUGGAAGUUGGCCAUGCCCGAAGUCGUUACUCCAACCCUUGUGGAGGAGGACGCCGAAGGUGGGGCUAAUGACUGGGGUGAAGUCGUAACAAGGUAACCG
Molecule: ribosomal RNA, 1447 nt
Filed under: uncultured bacterium
Lineage: Bacteria
Description: bacterial SSU rRNA
Rfam family: Bacterial small subunit ribosomal RNA
Source: RNAcentral